GACGAACGCUGGCGGCGUGCUUAACACAUGCAAGUCGAACGGAAAGGCCCUGCUUUUGUGGGGUGCUCGAGUGGCGAACGGGUGAGUAACACGUGAGUAACCUGCCCUUGACUUUGGGAUAACUUCAGGAAACUGGGGCUAAUACCGGAUAGGAGCUCCUGCUGCAUGGUGGGGGUUGGAAAGUUUCGGCGGUUGGGGAUGGACUCGGGGCUUAUCAGCUUGUUGGGGGGGUAGUGGCUUACCAAGGCUUUGACGGGUAGCCGGCCUGAGAGGGUGACCGGCCACAUUGGGACUGAGAUACGGCCCAGACUCCUACGGGAGGCAGCAGUGGGGAAUAUUGCACAAUGGGCGGAAGCCUGAUGCAGCAACGCCGCGUGCGGGAUGACGGCCUUCGGGUUGUAAACCGCUUUCGCCUGUGACGAAGCGUGAGUGACGGUAAUGGGUAAAGAAGCACCGGCUAACUACGUG
Molecule: ribosomal RNA, 468 nt
Filed under: uncultured bacterium
Lineage: Bacteria
Description: partial 16S ribosomal RNA
Rfam family: Bacterial small subunit ribosomal RNA
Source: RNAcentral